UUGGUUAAGUUAGAAAGGGCGCACGGUGGAUGCCUUGGCACUAGGAGCCGAAGAAGGACGGGACUAACACCGAUAUGCUUUGGGGAGCUGUACGUAAGCGUUGAUCCAGAGAUUUCCGAAUGGGGGAACCCACUAUCUUUAGUCGGAUAGUAUCCUUACGUGAAUACAUAGCGUGAGGAAGGCAGACCCAGGGAACUGAAACAUCUAAGUACCUGGAGGAAGAGAAAGAAAAAUCGAUUUCCUGAGUAGCGGCGAGCGAAACGGAAAGAGCCCAAACCAAGAAGCUUGCUUCUUGGGGUUGUAGGACACUCUAUACGGAGUUACAAAAGAAAGUUAUAAAUGAAGCGGUCUGGAAAGGCCCGCCAAAGACGGUAACAGCCCGGUAGUUGAAAUGGCUUUCCCUCCAGAGUGGAUCCUGAGUACGGCGGAACACGUGAAAUUCCGUCGGAAUCCGGGAGGACCAUCUCCCAAGGCUAAAUACUCCCUAGUGACCGAUAGUGAACCAGUACCGUGAGGGAAAGGUGAAAAGCACCCCGGAAGGGGAGUGAAACAGUUCCUGAAACCGUGUGCCUACAAGUAGUUAGAGCCCGUUAAUGGGUGAUAGCGUGCCUUUUGUAGAAUGAACCGGCGAGUUACGAUUUGUUGCAAGGUUAAGCGGAAAAAGCGGAGCCGUAGCGAAAGCGAGUCUGAAUAGGGCGCAUAAGUAACAGGUCGUAGACCCGAAACCAGGUGAUCUACCCAUGUCCAGGAUGAAGGUAAGGUAAUACUUACUGGAGGUCCGAACCCACGCACGUUGAAAAGUGCGGGGAUGAGGUGUGGGUAGCGGAGAAAUUCCAAUCGAACUUGGAGAUAGCUGGUUCUCUCCGAAAUAGCUUUAGGGCUAGCCUCGAGGUAAAGAGUCAUGGAGGUAGAGCACUGUUUGGACUAGGGGCCCUUCUCGGGUUACCGAAUUCAGAUAAACUCCGAAUGCCAUGUACUUAUACUCGGGAGUCAGACUGCGAGUGAUAAGAUCCGUAGUCGAAAGGGAAACAGCCCAGACCACCAGUUAAGGUCCCCAAAUAUAUGUUAAGU
This 1071-nucleotide ribosomal RNA is filed under the name Listeria monocytogenes. RNAcentral's name for it is "partial 23S ribosomal RNA". It matches the Rfam family "Bacterial large subunit ribosomal RNA", at positions 1 to 1064 of the family's 2925-position model. The record is from RNAcentral. Lineage: Bacteria; Bacillati; Bacillota; Bacilli; Caryophanales; Listeriaceae.